Molecule: transfer RNA, 70 nt
Filed under: Anoplotermes group sp. 1 TB-2017
Lineage: Eukaryota; Metazoa; Arthropoda; Insecta; Blattodea; Termitidae
Description: tRNA-Gln
Source: RNAcentral
UAUAUCUUGGUGUAUGAUGCACGACAGCUUUUGAUGCUUGAAGGCGAUAGUUUGAUUCUAUUAGAUGUAA